GUCAAAACUAAAAACUGAACCAUGAGUGCCCUGACUAUACCAAUGGAAAAAAGAAAAGGGUUAUUGGUUGGCCUCAUUCUUACUUCUGGGCUCAGAUCUAUAAUUUAUCUCAGGCAUCGACACUGUCAUGGCUGCAAACCCUAUAAUAUCGGUCGCCCUGCCAAGAUAGGGGCCUGAAACAACAAUGCCUGAUUCCAUUUGUUCAGUAAAAUAAUCAUCACAG
This 223-nucleotide unclassified non-coding RNA is filed under the name Hevea brasiliensis (rubber tree). Lineage: Eukaryota; Viridiplantae; Streptophyta; Magnoliopsida; Malpighiales; Euphorbiaceae. The record is from RNAcentral.